AUGCAGAUGGAAAUAUGUUAUCAAUCAUUUUCAGCACAGUGUAUGAGUCCCAGAGCACAACAAGAUGAACACAGACAGGCACUGUGGUGGUCAGCAGCUGUAUUACAGCCAGCUCUAUCGUGUAAGAAGAAUGACACCUGUGAUCACCAAAGGGCAGGUUCUGUGCCUAGCUGGGAGGAGGAGGAGGAGGAAGAGAAGAACUCCUUUCUGUGUGAGUUUGGAAGGAGCAACCUGCUGGCUUCCAGGGGUCACAUAGAAGACCUGCAGACUUGGAGAAUGCUGCAUGGGUGAGUGGUACUUAGCUGGAAUAGCACGAUUUGGGGCAUCCUGCCUGAAAGUGGACGAUAGCAGUGAAUCUUGACAUCUUGCUCUCUUCCUUCCCCAAUCACAGAGGCCCAAGAGCCAAAAACCUCCCUUUUCUGAUGCAGCCCAGUCCUAUCAGCUCAGAAUAGAGUGAAUAGCCCUCCCUAUUGCCCUACUCACACAUUCCUUAAUAAUCUUGUUUUAUCUUUAUUUCUGGCUACUGGGAAGGAGCAGGACAAUGAGUUGUUAAGCAACAAGGAGAGGACUGGGGCACAGAGUGGAGACCUUUGCUGAAUGGAAGGAGCAGCUGCUGAAAAGAAAUUCCAGCAGCCUCUUUAGCAGGAACAGGACAUGCAGGAAAGCAGUAGGAGUUGGAUCAGUCUAUCCUCACCUCCUCUGGCAUAGGGAAAGAUCCUUCUCUCCUGUGCUUUGACCAAACUCUGUUAAAUAUCUGUUUUCAGCAAUGAAGAAAAACUAAGAAGCAUAAGAUAUAUCUUUGUUGUUUCUUUAGAGGAAAGAGAGUGAUUUGGCUUUUUAAUGAGUUUAGGCUUUUAUGUUUGAAAAAUUAACUUCUUAUACUCACUUCUAGUAAUUUCAUUGUCUGAAAUUUAAGAAACAAAUAAAAAAAUACAAAAAAUAAAAAGGGAAAAAAAA
RNAcentral lists this long non-coding RNA (957 nucleotides) under Anser cygnoides (Swan goose). RNAcentral describes it as "lncRNA (ENSACDG00005009922.1)". Lineage: Eukaryota; Metazoa; Chordata; Aves; Anseriformes; Anatidae. The record is from RNAcentral.